This 441-nucleotide ribosomal RNA is filed under the name uncultured bacterium. Its description in RNAcentral is "partial 16S ribosomal RNA". It matches the Rfam family "Bacterial small subunit ribosomal RNA", at positions 338 to 795 of the family's 1533-position model. The record is from RNAcentral.
CCUACGGGUGGCUGCAGUAGGGAAUAUUGGUUAAUGGGCGAAAGCCCGACCCAGCAACGCCGCGUGCACGAAGAAGGCCUUCGGGUUGUAAAGUGCUUUUUAGUGGGAUGAGGAAGGACAGUACCACUAGAAUAAGUCUCGGCUAACUACGUGCCAGCAGCCGCGGUAACACGUAGGAGACGAGCGUUAUCCGGAUUUACUGGGUGUAAAGCGCGUGCAGGCGGUCGGGUAAGUUGGAUGUGAAAGCUCCUGGCUUAACUGGGAGAGGUCGUUCAAAACUGCCGGGCUAGAGUGCAACAGAGGGGAGUGGAAUUCCGAGUGUAGCGGUAAAAUGCAUAGAGAUGAGGAGGAACACCAGUGGCGAAGGCGGCCACCUGGACAGUAACUGACGCUGAGGCGCGAAAGUGUGGGUAGCAAACAGGAUUAGAUACCCCAGUAGUC